Long non-coding RNA from Neofelis nebulosa (Clouded leopard), 2055 nucleotides. RefSeq lists it as uncharacterized. Lineage: Eukaryota; Metazoa; Chordata; Mammalia; Carnivora; Felidae. The transcript has 3 exons. The record is from RefSeq and is a predicted model, not a curated record.
UUAACUGUGAAACCUUCAGGAAACUCAUUAGUAACUAUGAAUCUUCUAAUUUCUAAUUUGUAAUAUGAAGAAAAGAAGCACACUACAUAACAUGCCAUAUGGAUGAAAUGAAAUGUAGGAAAAAAUAGUUUGAUACAAUACCUGGCACAAAAUCAAUGCUCAGUGGUAAUGGUGAGAAGAAAAAGAUGAUACAGCUCAUUCAAAGUUGAAGAAAAUAAGUUUAUGAGGAUCCUAUCGCUGCUUAAAAAUGAAAACAGGAUUUGAACCUAGGCCUCCUCUUUCCAGAUUUUUCAUUCAUAACCAUGAAUCAUAAAAAAAAACUUCAUCAUGCACAAAUUAUAUUUAAAUGUUUGAAUUUUCUUCUGAUACAUGUUAUUUUUUUUCACUCAUGUUAAAUUAAGAAAAAAAUUUUAAAAACCACCUUUGUGAAAACCAAAAAUAAAUGCUCACUCACAGAGAAUGGAAAACACGGAUUCAGAACCAUGAGCCUUCUUUAAUGAGAAAUGGAGACGAAUCUGUUUCGUGAGUCUUGGACACUUUGGACAGAGCAAAGAUGUUAAAAGCGGACAGAGAAGAGAGGAGAUCGGUGAAAUUGUUUCCUUUGAGAGAACCCUUACAGAUCAUUGGGUACCCUUUCCCUAGCCGUUCUGGGGGAAGGUGAAAGAAUGAUACCUUCUGGUGCUAGUUUAGUGAUGUGGGCUUCAAUGGGAUCACUCAGUUAUGAAAUUUGUUUCGUGAAGUUGGCACACAGAAAAGAUUGGUGUCUGUUCACGUCUGAGAAAGCUAAAGUCGAAAUCACACAGGAAUAAGCUAAAACUGACAUCUGUUGAGGAAAUUCAGAGGGUGAGAGAAGAGAGAGCUUCUGUGUUGAAAUAAGCCUGCUUUUUGAGCUUCUCAGAGCAAAACUUUUUUUCUGGUUGAUCAAGGAAGAUCAUGGGUGUUGGAGAUUUAAAACAGUGCCAUUUGGAGACCUUUCCAAGUAGGUACCUGAGGAGUAAAAAAAACAACCUCAGCAGAAGAAGGCUGGGGAUAUCAAGUGGCUGGUGACCAAGUCCAGUAAGUGUCCCUUUAGACGCACCCCCUGGGAGAAGAAAUUGCAGAAGUGAGAGGCCCAGUUGGAAUCACUGAAAAAGCCCUAGGACUGCCCAUGACAGAGUCAGCCUGAAAAUCAGGACCAGUGAGCAUGUAGCCGGUUUAGGACUGAGGUCAAGACCAAUCCCUUUACCUCUUCUGUGCUCUACUUCUGUUUGAUCUUACCAAAAGCUAAAACAGCAGCAAAUAAGGAGUUUAGAAGAAAGAGAAAAUACAAGAAGGAGAGACAUCAGCUAAUUUCAACCCUGUCCAUUGAACCUGGCUACUAAGUGCUAGUAUGGGAGAGAGGGAAAACUUAAUAUUCAGUUACAUUUAGUAAUUUGAUUAAUAGCUGAGGCUUGGUAUAUUAAUUAUAGAAUUGAAACUGUGUCUGAUGUGCAUUGAAACUGUGUCUUAUGGCUGAAUUUUAUCCUUCCAAAAUUCAUAUGUUGAAGUCCUAAACCCCAGCGCCUCAGGAUGUGACUGUGUUUAGGGAUAAAUUCUUUAAAGAGGUGGUUAAGUUAAAAUGAGUACUUAAGGAUGGACCCUAAUGCAAUAUAGCUGAUAACCUUACAAGGAGACAAAUUUUUGACACGGAGAGACAAAUACCAGGCAGGAGUGUGCAUGGAGGAAAGGUCGUGUGCGAACACAGCAAGAAGGGGACCAUCUAUCUGCAAGCCACGGAGGGAAGCAUCAGAAGACGUCAAACCUACCUACAUCUUGAUCUUAGAACUUCCAGACUCCAGAACUGUGACAAACAAAUUUCUGUCACGUAAGCCAUUUUGUUAUGACAACCCCAGCAAACGAAUUCACCAGGUUAAUGUGAUCACAAGACCUGAGUUUUCAUCCUGGGUAAGAAGCAUGUUGAGAGUAUCUUUUUUUCUGGAAUUCUGGAAAUUAUUUAUUAGAAUGUGUUAGUGUAUCCAACAGUGAAAAAACUAAAAAAAAUAAAAUUAAAAAAUCUGAGGUUUUCUUAAAACUGAA